Molecule: small RNA, 794 nt
Filed under: Vigna angularis var. angularis
Lineage: Eukaryota; Viridiplantae; Streptophyta; Magnoliopsida; Fabales; Fabaceae
Description: Non-protein coding transcript
Source: RNAcentral
CUCAAUAAUCAAUGUAACAAAAGUUUGUAUUACAAGUCAAUAUAACUUAGGAAGGAGAAACUCCAAUUCUUAUUAUAGAUUAACCAAAAAAACCAAAGAAACUAAUGUGUAAGUUUUGUCCAACAACUUUCAAGGGAGAAAAAGUUUUGUGGUAACUCAAAAGACCAUCUAUUAGCACUCACUUUGCAAAGUGUUUCUUGAAGUGCAUUUAUUGCAUUUUCCCAUGACCAAGAAAGAUCAUUAUCCCAAGCAAUAGUAAUGGUAAGCACUGAUCCUCCUUCAAGCUCAUUGAACUCAACCUGUCAUUUUUUUGGCUUGGUAUCUAUACCUGCUAAUGCUAUAAAUACUAACACAAAAAUGGAAUAGAAAUUAGUUUUUGAAAAUAAAACAAUUUAUGCACCUGAGGUAUCACAAAGUAGAAAGAACUAAAAGCCCGCCACUCUGAUGACACCUUAGCUUCUGAAUUGAAACGGAUAGCGCCAUAUGCACGGACUAAAGGGCACCUCUCAGAAACUAUAUUGAGUUGUAAACCAAAUACCUAUAAACUAAUUUGCAUUUAAGUUAAAGGCAUGACCUAACAUAACAUACAUUAUGACCUGAAAACCCCCAAGGAGAAAAGGCAUAACAAAUAAUGGUUCAAAUAAUACCAUAUGUAAUCAUCAUUAAACAGUAUAAGGGAAGAAACCACAGAAGUUGCAGAAAGUAGUUGACUGAGAUGAUUUAAUUUGAAUGUGUGCAAAGUAAAAAUAGAAAGUAAUUACAGUGCAACUGAUAAAAAAUCUAGAAGAAUCAAC